UUUAUUGGGNUAAAGGGUGCGUAGGUGGUGAUUUAAGUCAGCGGUGAAAGUUUGUGGCUCAACCAUAAAAUUGCCGUUGAAACUGGGUUACUUGAGUGUGUUUGAGGUAGGCGGAAUGCGUGGUGUAGCGGUGAAAUGCAUAGAUAUCACGCAGAACUCCGAUUGCGAAGGCAGCUUACUAAACCAUAACUGACACUGAAGCACGAAAGCGUGGGGAUCAAACAGGAUUAGAUACCCUGGUAGUCCACGCAGUAAACGAUGAUUACUAGGAGUUUGCGAUACAAUGUAAGCUCUACAGCGAAAGCGUUAAGUAAUCCACCUGGGGAGUACGCCGGCAACGGUGAAACUCAAAGGAAUUGACGGGGGCCCGCACAAGCGGAGGAACAUGUGGUUUAAUUCGAUGAUACGCGAGGAACCUUACCCGGGUUUGAACGUAGUCUGACCGGAGUGGAAACACUCCUUCUAGCAAUAGCAGAUUACGAGGUGCUGCAUGGUUGUCGUCAGCUCGUGCCGUGAGGUGUCGGCUUAAGUGCCAUAACGAGCGCAACCCUUAUCACUAGUUACUAACAGGUGAAGCUGAGGACUCUGGUGAGACUGCCAGCGUAAGCUGUGAGGAAGGUGGGGAUGACGUCAAAUCAGCACGGCCCUUACAUCCGGGGCGACACACGUGUUACAAUGGCAUGGACAAAGGGCAGCUACCUGGCGACAGGAUGCUAAUCUCCAAACCAUGUCUCAGUUCGGAUCGGAGUCUGCAACUCGACUCCGUGAAGCUGGAUUCGCUAGUAAUCGCGCAUCAGCCAUGGCGCGGUGAAUACGUUCCCGGGCCUUGUACACACCGCCCGUCAAGCCAUGGGAGCCGGGGGUACCUGAAGUCCGUAACCGCAAGGAUCGGCCUAGGGUAAAACUGGUGACUGGGGCUAAGUCGUAACAAGGUAGCAUCACUAGUGAAUUCGCGGCCGCCUGCAGGUCGACCAUANGGGAGA
This 983-nucleotide ribosomal RNA is filed under the name uncultured Parabacteroides sp. RNAcentral describes it as "bacterial SSU rRNA". It matches the Rfam family "Bacterial small subunit ribosomal RNA", at positions 550 to 1533 of the family's 1533-position model. Lineage: Bacteria; Pseudomonadati; Bacteroidota; Bacteroidia; Bacteroidales; Tannerellaceae. The record is from RNAcentral.